AACGAACGCUGGCGGCACGUUUUAAGCAUGCAAGUCGAAUGGCAGUGGGGGCAACCCCAUGAGAAUGGCGAACGGGGGAGUAACACGUAGGUGCGCUGCCUGACGGAUGGGGAGAGCUUGCGGAAACACAGGGUAAUACACAAUGAGCUGACGAGACUUUGGUUGUGUUAGUAAAGGUGCUACGGCACCGCGAACAGAGGAGGCUGCGGCUGAGUAGCUAGUUGGUGGGGUAAAGGACUACCAAGGCGACGAGCAGUAGCCGGCCUGAGAGGGUGUACGGCAACACUGGAACUGAGACACGGUCCAGACUCCUACGGGAGGCAGCAGCUAAGAAUCUUCCGCAAUGGGCGAAAGCCUGACGGAGCGAUGCCGCGUGAUCGAUGAAGGUCGAGGGAUUGUAAAGAUCUUUUCUACAUGAGGAAUAAGUCUGGGAGGGAAUGCCUGGAUGAUGACGUUAGUGUAGGAAUAAGCCCCGGCUAAUUACGUGCCAGCAGCCGCCGUAA
This 503-nucleotide ribosomal RNA is filed under the name uncultured bacterium. RNAcentral describes it as "partial 16S ribosomal RNA". It matches the Rfam family "Bacterial small subunit ribosomal RNA", at positions 29 to 523 of the family's 1533-position model. The record is from RNAcentral.